GAUGAAGAACGUAGUGAAAUGCGAUAAGUAAUGUGAAUUGCAGAAUUCAGUGAAUCAUCGAAUCUUUGAACGCACAUUGCGCCCGCCAGCAUUCUGGCGGGCAUGCCUGUUCGAGCGUCAUUUCAACCCUCGAGCCCCCCCGGGGGCCUCGGUGUUGGGGGACGGCACACCAGCCGCCCCCGAAAUGCAGUGGCGACCCCGCCGCGGCCUCCCCUGCGUAGUAGCACACACCUCGCACCGGAGCGCGGAGGCGGUCACGCCGUAAAACGCCCAACUUUCUUAGAGUUGACCUCGGAUCAGGUAGGAAUACCCGCUGAACUUAAGCAUAUCAAUAAGCGGAGGA
This 343-nucleotide unclassified non-coding RNA is filed under the name soil metagenome. RNAcentral's name for it is "partial contains 5.8S ribosomal RNA, internal transcribed spacer 2, and large subunit ribosomal RNA". The stretch from base 1 to 120 matches the Rfam family "5.8S ribosomal RNA", at positions 35 to 154 of the family's 154-position model. The record is from RNAcentral.